CCUACGGGAGGCAGCAGUGGGGAAUAUUGCACAAUGGGGGAAACCCUGAUCCAGCGACGCCGCGUGAGUGAAGAAGUAACUCGGUAUGUAAAGCUCUAUUAGCAGGGACGCGACAACAGGGUACCUGACUCAGAAGCCUCGGCUAACUACAUACCAGCAGCCGCGGUAAAGCGCAGGGGGCAAGCGUUAUCCGGAAUCACUGGGUGUAAACGGAUCGUAGGCGGCUGUGCAAGCCUGAAGUGAAAGGCGGGGGCCUAAACCCAGGACGGCGGUGGGAACUGUACGGCUGGAGUGCAGGAGAGGUAAGUGGAAUGCCUGGUGUAGCGGUGAAAUGCGUAGAUAUUAGGAAGAACACCAGUGGCGAAGGCGGCUUACUGGACUGUAACUGACGUUGAGGCACGAAAGCGUGGGGAGCAAACAGGAUUAGAUACCCGAGUAGUC
RNAcentral lists this ribosomal RNA (441 nucleotides) under uncultured bacterium. Its description in RNAcentral is "partial 16S ribosomal RNA". It matches the Rfam family "Bacterial small subunit ribosomal RNA", at positions 338 to 795 of the family's 1533-position model. The record is from RNAcentral.